CCCUCUCCCUCACCCCAAUCCUAACCCCGACCCUAACCCUUCCCCCUGGGUUAACCCCGACCCCGACCCCUGACCCCAACCCUUCACCCCGACCCCCGACCCUAACCCCGACCCUAACCCUUCCCCCUGGGUUAACCCCGACCCCUGACCCCAACCCUUCACCCUCACCUGAUCUUUCCCCUUUUUUGCACGUCUACUAAAAAGACAUGUGGUGAUCCUGUAGGGGGGAUGAAGAUGAUGAUGAUAAUGAUGAUGGUGAUGAUGAUGGUGAUGAUGAUGAUGAUGAUGAUGAUGGUGAUGAUGAUGAUGAUGGUGAUGAUGGUGUUGAUGAUAAUGAUGAUGUUGAUGAUGAUGAGUGGGCGGGGUUACCUGCUCUUAUUUACACUGUAACAUGGCAGGUGCGAAUAAAUGGGUGUGUCUAUAUAUCAGUGGGCGAACCUGAUUGGAUCUGCCUUCAUGAUUGACAGGUGAAUGGGUGUGUCUAUAUAUCAGUGGGCGAACCUGAUUGGAUCUGCCUUCAUGAUUGACAGGUGAUGAGAUUAGAUUUUCUCCUUCCGGGUGGCAGCAUUAUGCAACCCAGGCGGCAGCCGACUCCAGUCCAGAUUAGGGUCAGAUUGGGGCUAGAUUAGGGCCAGAUUAGGACGGCUCCAGUCAAGAUUAGGGCCAGAUUAGGACGGCUCCAGUCUAGAUUAGGGCCAGAUUAGGACGGCUCCAGUCUAGAUUAGGGUCAGAUUAGGACGGCUCCAGACGGCUCCAGUCUAGAUUAGGGCCAGAUUGAGACGGCUGCAGUCUAGAUUGGGGCCAGAUUGGAACGGCUGCUGCCAGGGAACAGGUUGCAAUAUCCAACCACCCCAGGCGUGGUUUUAGGGAUGAGGGCGUGGUCUAAGUGAUGAGGGGGCGUGGUCGUAUUGAUGAGGAGGCGUGGUCUUAGUGGCGUCUCUCCUUUUCCUUUUCGCGUGGAGUUGUUUAUUUUGAAGUGUAAUUGAAUUAUUGCAUAUGAAGACUUUAAACAGAGACACUGGCAUGAUUAAACCCUCUGUGCUAAAUCUACUUUAGAUUUCUCUUUCUCUUUGAGUUCUCCUCUCCGCAUCCACACACUGUUGUUGUCUCAGAGUAAAGUUUACACACAAACAC
Clupea harengus (Atlantic herring) is the source of this 1134-nucleotide long non-coding RNA. The record is from Ensembl. NCBI's taxonomy places the organism in Eukaryota, Metazoa, Chordata, Actinopteri, Clupeiformes, Clupeidae.